This 332-nucleotide RNase P RNA is filed under the name Oscillospiraceae bacterium. RNAcentral describes it as "RNase P RNA component class A". It matches the Rfam family "Bacterial RNase P class A". Rfam says of the family: Ribonuclease P (RNase P) is a ubiquitous endoribonuclease, found in archaea, bacteria and eukarya as well as chloroplasts and mitochondria. Its best characterised activity is the generation of mature 5'-ends of tRNAs by cleaving the 5'-leader elements of precursor-tRNAs. Lineage: Bacteria; Bacillati; Bacillota; Clostridia; Eubacteriales; Oscillospiraceae. The record is from RNAcentral.
GCAGUCAGCCAAGCAGCCGCGCGCGCGAGCGUGAGGAAAGUCCGGGCUUCACAGAGCAGGAUAGCUGAUAACGUCAGCCGAGAGCGAUCUCAGGACAAGUGCAACAGAAAUAAACCGCCUUCCUCGGAAGGUAAGGGUGGAAAGGCGAGGCAAGAGCUCACCGGAGGCCAUGGUGACAUGGCCCCCCUGUAAACUCUAUCCGAAGCAACACCGACUCGGGGGCUACGGCUUGCUCGGCCAAUCUCCGGACAGGUGGCAAGAGGCGUGCGGCGACGUGCGUCCCAGAUAGAUGGCUGCAUAGACAGAACCCGGCUUACAGGCUGACUGCAUAU